UUAAGCGACUAAGCGUACACGGUGGAUGCCCUGGCAGUCAGAGGCGAUGAAGGACGUGCUAAUCUGCGAUAAGCGUCGGUAAGGUGAUAUGAACCGUUAUAACCGGCGAUUUCCGAAUGGGGAAACCCAGUGUGAUUCGUCACACUAUCAUUAACUGAAUCCAUAGGUUAAUGAGGCGAACCGGGGGAACUGAAACAUCUAAGUACCCCGAGGAAAAGAAAUCAACCGAGAUUCCCCCAGUAGCGGCGAGCGAACGGGGAGCAGCCCAGAGCCUGAAUCAGUGUGUGUGUUAGUGGAAGCGUCUGGAAAGGCGUGCGAUACAGGGUGACAGCCCCGUACACAAAAAUGCACAUGCUGUGAGCUCGAUGAGUAGGGCGGGACACGUGGUAUCCUGUCUGAAUAUGGGGGGACCAUCCUCCAAGGCUAAAUACUCCUGACUGACCGAUAGUGAACCAGUACCGUGAGGGAAAGGCGAAAAGAACCCCGGCGAGGGGAGUGAAAAAGAACCUGAAACCGUGUACGUACAAGCAGUGGGAGCACGCUUAGGCGUGUGACUGCGUACCUUUUGUAUAAUGGGUCAGCGACUUAUAUUCUGUAGCAAGGUUAACCGAAUAGGGGAGCCGAAGGGAAACCGAGUCUUAACUGGGCGUUAAGUUGCAGGGUAUAGACCCGAAACCCGGUGAUCUAGCCAUGGGCAGGUUGAAGGUUGGGUAACACUAACUGGAGGACCGAACCGACUAAUGUUGAAAAAUUAGCGGAUGACUUGUGGCUGGGGGUGAAAGGCCAAUCAAACCGGGAGAUAGCUGGUUCUCCCCGAAAGCUAUUUAGGUAGCGCCUCGUGAAUUCAUCUCCGGGGGUAGAGCACUGUUUCGGCAAGGGGGUCAUCCCGACUUACCAACCCGAUGCAAACUGCGAAUACCGGAGAAUGUUAUCACGGGAGACACACGGCGGGUGCUAACGUCCGUCGUGAAGAGGGAAACAACCCAGACCGCCAGCUAAGGUCCCAAAGUCAUGGUUAAGUGGGAAACGAUGUGGGAAGGCCCAGACAGCCAGGAUGUUGGCUUAGAAGCAGCCAUCAUUUAAAGAAAGCGUAAUAGCUCACUGGUCGAGUCGGCCUGCGCGGAAGAUGUAACGGGGCUAAACCAUGCACCGAAGCUGCGGCAGCGACGCUGAUGCGUUGUUGGGUAGGGGAGCGUUCUGUAAGCCUGCGAAGGUGUGCUGUGAGGCAUGCUGGAGGUAUCAGAAGUGCGAAUGCUGACAUAAGUAACGAUAAAGCGGGUGAAAAGCCCGCUCGCCGGAAGACCAAGGGUUCCUGUCCAACGUUAAUCGGGGCAGGGUGAGUCGACCCCUAAGGCGAGGCCGAAAAGCGUAGUCGAUGGGAAACAGGUUAAUAUUCCUGUACUUGGUGUUACUGCGAAGGGGGGACGGAGAAGGCUAUGUUGGCCGGGCGACGGUUGUCCCGGUUUAAGCGUGUAGGCUGGUUUUCCAGGCAAAUCCGGAAAAUCAAGGCUGAGGCGUGAUGACGAGGCACUACGGUGCUGAAGCAACAAAUGCCCUGCUUCCAGGAAAAGCCUCUAAGCAUCAGGUAACAUCAAAUCGUACCCCAAACCGACACAGGUGGUCAGGUAGAGAAUACCAAGGCGCUUGAGAGAACUCGGGUGAAGGAACUAGGCAAAAUGGUGCCGUAACUUCGGGAGAAGGCACGCUGAUAUGUAGGUGAAGCGACUUGCUCGUGGAGCUGAAAUCAGUCGAAGAUACCAGCUGGCUGCAACUGUUUAUUAAAAACACAGCACUGUGCAAACACGAAAGUGGACGUAUACGGUGUGACGCCUGCCCGGUGCCGGAAGGUUAAUUGAUGGGGUCAGCGCAAGCGAAGCUCUUGAUCGAAGCCCCGGUAAACGGCGGCCGUAACUAUAACGGUCCUAAGGUAGCGAAAUUCCUUGUCGGGUAAGUUCCGACCUGCACGAAUGGCGUAAUGAUGGCCAGGCUGUCUCCACCCGAGACUCAGUGAAAUUGAACUCGCUGUGAAGAUGCAGUGUACCCGCGGCAAGACGGAAAGACCCCGUGAACCUUUACUAUAGCUUGACACUGAACAUUGAGCCUUGAUGUGUAGGAUAGGUGGGAGGCUUUGAAGUGUGGACGCCAGUCUGCAUGGAGCCGACCUUGAAAUACCACCCUUUAAUGUUUGAUGUUCUAACGUGGACCCGUGAUCCGGGUUGCGGACAGUGUCUGGUGGGUAGUUUGACUGGGGCGGUCUCCUCCUAAAGAGUAACGGAGGAGCACGAAGGUUGGCUAAUCCUGGUCGGACAUCAGGAGGUUAGUGCAAUGGCAUAAGCCAGCUUGACUGCGAGCGUGACGGCGCGAGCAGGUGCGAAAGCAGGUCAUAGUGAUCCGGUGGUUCUGAAUGGAAGGGCCAUCGCUCAACGGAUAAAAGGUACUCCGGGGAUAACAGGCUGAUACCGCCCAAGAGUUCAUAUCGACGGCGGUGUUUGGCACCUCGAUGUCGGCUCAUCACAUCCUGGGGCUGAAGUAGGUCCCAAGGGUAUGGCUGUUCGCCAUUUAAAGUGGUACGCGAGCUGGGUUUAGAACGUCGUGAGACAGUUCGGUCCCUAUCUGCCGUGGGCGCUGGAGAACUGAGGGGGGCUGCUCCUAGUACGAGAGGACCGGAGUGGACGCAUCACUGGUGUUCGGGUUGUCAUGCCAAUGGCACUGCCCGGUAGCUAAAUGCGGAAGAGAUAAGUGCUGAAAGCAUCUAAGCACGAAACUUGCCCCGAGAUGAGUUCUCCCUGACUCCUUGAGAGUCCUGAAGGAACGUUGAAGACGACGACGUUGAUAGGCCGGGUGUGUAAGCGCAGCGAUGCGUUGAGCUAACCGGUACUAAUGAACCGUGAGGCUUAACCU
This 2901-nucleotide ribosomal RNA is filed under the name Escherichia coli. RNAcentral's name for it is "23S ribosomal RNA". It matches the Rfam family "Bacterial large subunit ribosomal RNA". The record is from RNAcentral. Lineage: Bacteria; Pseudomonadati; Pseudomonadota; Gammaproteobacteria; Enterobacterales; Enterobacteriaceae.